Long non-coding RNA from Fukomys damarensis (Damara mole-rat), 1566 nucleotides. RefSeq lists it as uncharacterized. NCBI's taxonomy places the organism in Eukaryota, Metazoa, Chordata, Mammalia, Rodentia, Bathyergidae. The transcript is spliced from 3 exons. The record is from RefSeq and is a predicted model, not a curated record.
UUUUUCAUUGAAUAAAUUAUGCUUUCUACUUUCCUAUUUCCCUGGGGCUCUUGAAGAAUCCAUAUGCGUUCAGCAGGAGUGUGAGGAUUCUGGAAGCACAGGGCUAUGGGCAGCUUCAGAGACCAAGCGGGUGAAGACAGGAAGGAGGCAAACCUGUUCUCAUCAGAGAUACAGUUCCAAGCUCCUUCCCCAGGACUGAUGGUUCAUUCAAACAGAGGCUGACAAGCACUGUGGAAGAUGGGGAAAUUGAAGGGAGAGAUGGACCAACAUGCCUAAAUUUCCAUAGCCGGUCUGGAACUAGGGACAUGAAGUCUGGUGUUUUUCCGGCUAUGACUCACAGCUUCUUUGCCUUGGACAUCUUGGGAUGUUUCUGGACAGUGAGGUCAUUUGGUUUGUGAGGCGGCAGUAGGAUGAUCCAUGGGGAGAACAUUCAUCUAGUCGCUCCUGCACUGUGUGAGCUGGUUGGCAGGUGUGUCUAUAGAGAAGAGUGGAGAGAGCUGGCAGGACUUUGAAGGACAAAAGGGAACAUUGCAGAAAGCACCUUCAUUUGUCCUUUUGCUUGGUCAGAGGGCCCUGUCUAAUAGAAGUUUCACAUAAUAAGGGUACAUUAAUAUAAAUGGGAAAUAAAUAAGCAAUAACCACAACAUGCACAUUUUAGGAUCACCUUGAAAGAAAGUUCGUAGGAUUUCCCCAGGGGCUGUAGAAGGAGGGAGAGCUGGAGCCUGUCCUGGAGAUACUCUUCCUCCAAGCUCUGCCUUAUUUCUCAGAGCAAUAUGUCCCCCAGCCCCAUUCCAAGGCUCUGCAUCUGUUCUCCCUGACACUCAUUUCAGGCUCUUGGGAGAAACCUGUCCUCUGACACUCACCAUGGCCCUGGGUGGCCCCUUCCUCUUGUGAAUGGUGGCACUAAUGAGGGUGACAUUUUCACUUACCCUCCUGUUGGCUUUGUCUUCCUUCAACAGCCUGGGCCUGGUCUCCUGGGAUACCUAAUUAAAAGGCUGAGAGUGCUUUUACCAAUAGUCAUGUUUGGAGCUGAGUACUGUAUCUCUAUGAAAAAAAAGUUGCAGCUUUGGACGUGUCCCAGAGGUCUACAUUCUAUGAGGUAAUAUAUGCCACAUCCAGUAGACUAUAAGCAAACCAAUUCUGACAUCAGAGGGUGUUAUGCACAGAGUGAUAAUGGAUGAUUUUAAUGAAACCCUAACUGCAUUAAUUUGUUCAUUUGAUUAACUUAUUAAACAUGAUCUGCUUUCUACAGUUCAGUACUAUAGCUACAUGCCAAAUAACAACAUUUUAGUCAACAGCAGACUAUAUAUAUACAUAUAUAUAUAUAUAUAAAACAGUGGUUCUGUAAGAUUAUAAUGGAGCUGAAAAUUCCUGUCACUUAGUGAUCUUGUAGCCAUUGUAAUGUCACAGAGCAAUGCAUUACUAAUGUGUUUGUAACAGUGCUGGUGAAAACAAAUCUCUUGUGCUGCCUGUUGUAGAAAAGUGUAGAGCAUACAAUUAUGUCCAGUACAUAAUAUUUGAUGAUGAUAAUAAACAGUUACGUUUCUGUUUUUGUAUUUACUGUAC